Oncorhynchus tshawytscha (Chinook salmon) is the source of this 6275-nucleotide long non-coding RNA. Lineage: Eukaryota; Metazoa; Chordata; Actinopteri; Salmoniformes; Salmonidae. The record is from Ensembl.
GGGGGUACUGGUACAGAGUCAGCGUGGAGGCUAUAUACAGGGGGUACUGGUACAGAGUCAAUGUGGAGGCUAUAUACAGGGGGUACUGGUACAGAGUCAGCGUGGAGGCUAUAUACAGGGGGUACUGGUACAGAGUCAAUGUGGAGGCUAUAUACAGGGGGUACUGGUACAGAGUCAAUGUGGAGGCUAUAUACAGGAGGUACUGGUACAGAGUCAAUGUGGAGGCUAUAUACAGGGGGUACCGGUACAGAGUCAAUGUGGAGGCUAUAUACAGGGGCGUACUGGUACAGAGUCAAUGUGGAGGCUAUAUACAGGGGGUACUGGUACAGAGUCAAUGUGGAGGCUAUAUACAGGAGGUACUGGUACAGAGUCAAUGUGGAGACUAUAUACAGGAGGUACUGGUACAGAGUAAAUGUGGAGGCUAUAUACAGGAGGUACUGGUACAGAGUCAAUGUGGAGGCUAUAUACAGGAGGUACUGGUACAGUCAAUGUGGAGGCUAUAUACAGGGGGUACCGGUACAGAGUCAAUUUGCAGGGGCACUGGUUAUUUGAGGUAAUUGAGGCCAUAUGUAUUUGUUGGUAGAAUUAUGACUAUGCAUAGAUUAUGGUAAGAGAGUAGCAACCUUUUGGUCCUAGACUUGGUGCUCCGGUACCGCUUGCCGUGCGGUAGCAGACAGAACAGUCUAUGACUAGGGUGGCUGGAGUCUUUGACAAUUUUUAGGGCCUUCCUCUGAUACCGCUUGAUAUAGAGGUACUGGAUGGCAGGAAGCUUGACCCCAGUGAUGUACUGGGCCGUACAUACUACCCUCUGUAGUGCCUUGCGGUCGGACGCCGAGAAGUUGCCAUACCAGGCAGUGAUGCAACCUGUCAGGAUGCUCUCAAUGGUGCAGCUGUAGAACCUUUAGAGGAUCUGAGGACCCAUUCCAAAUCUUUUUAGUCUCCUGUGAGGGAAAAGGCUUUGUCGUGCCCUCUUCACGACUGUCUUGGUGUGUUUGGACCAUUCUAGUUUGUUGGUGAUGUGGACACCAAGGGAUGUGGAUUUCAACCUGUUCCACUACAGCUCGAUGAGAAUGGGGGCGUGCUCUGUCCUCCUUUUCCUGUAGUCCACAAGCAUCUCCUUUGUCUUGGUCACAUUGAGGAAGAGGUUGUUUUCCUGGCACCAUAUGGCCAGGUCUCUGACCUCCUCCCUAUAGGCUGUCUCGUCGUUGAUCAGGCCUACCACUGUUGUGUCAUCGGCAAACUUAAUGAUGGUGUUGGAGUCGUGCCUUGCAGUCAUGAGUGAACAGGGAGUACAGGAGGGGACUGAGCACGCACCCCUGAGGGGGCCCCUGUGUUGAGGAUCAGCGUGGCAGAUGUGUUGUUACCUACCCUGGAUGUCCAGGAUCCAGUUGCAGAGGGAGGUGUUGAGUCAGGUCGGGGAUUUGAACUUGCAACCUUUACGUUACUAGUCCAACGCUCUAACCACUAGGCUACCCUGCCGCCCCGGAUCUGUUGGGGCGGUAUGCAAAUUGGAGUGGGUCUAGGGUUUCUGGGAUAAUGAUGUUGAUGUGAGCCAAGACCAGGCUUUCAAAGCACUUCAUGGCUACAGACGUGAGUGCUACGGGUCGAUAGUCAUUUAGGCAGGUUACCUUAGUAUUCUUGGGCACAGGGACUAUGGUGGUCUGCUUGAAACAUGUUGGUAUUACAGAUUCAGUCAGGCAGGGACAGGUUGAAAAUGUCAGUGAAGACACUUGCCAGUUGGUCAGCGCAUGCUUGGAGUACAUGUCCUGGUAAUCCAUCUGGCCCUGCGGCCUUGUGAAUGUUGUUCUGUUUAAAGGUCUUAUUCACAUCGGCUACGACACGUGUGAUCACACAGUCAUAAUGGCUGAUGCUUUCAUGCAUGUUUCAGUGUUACUUGCCUCGAAGUGAGCAUAUAAGUCAUUUAGCUCUUCUGGUAGGCUCGUGUCACUGGGCAGCUCUCGGCUGUCCUUCCCUUUGUAGUCUGUAAUAGUUUGCAAGCCCUGCACAUCCGACGAGCGUCGGAGCAGGUGUAGUACGAUUCAAAACCUGCCAGCUGUAGGUUAAUCAUGUCGUCCUUCAACCACGACUCGGUGAAACAUAAUAUGUCACAGUUUUUAACGUCCCGUUGGUAGGAUAUAUGUGCUCGUAGUUCGUCUAUUUUAUUUUCAAUUGAUUGUAAGUUGGCUAAUAGGACCGAUGGUAAAAGUAGAUUACCCUCUUGGUGACGGAUCCUUACAAGGCACCCGGACAGUUGUCCACGAAAUCUCCGUCUUUUCCUUCUGGAGUAAAUCCUUCCCGUCCGACUCGUUGAAGAAGAAAAAUUCCUCCAGUCCAGUACGGGGUGAGUAAUUGCUGCCCUGAUAUCAAGAAACUCUUUUCGGUCAAAAGAGAGUGGCAGAAACAAAAUAUGUAAUAAAAAAUGCAAAAAAAAAAACACAAUUGGUUACGGGAUCAUAAAAUGGCUGCCAUCUCUUUCGGCACCGAUGAGAAUAAGUCAGCCCAGUGACACCCUUAUCAGAUCAACACGAAGAGUUAUCUAUCCAAAAUGGAGAUGUGUGGCUAAACCACGUAUCCAAUAUUUUUGGCUCUAUAACAAAGAUCAAACAGUAAAAACAUACACAUGAUCAAAUACAAAAAGGCCUGUGGUGUUGAUGGUAUCCUCAAUGAAUUUAUAAAAUAUACAGACAACAAAUUUCAAUUGGCUAUACUAAAACGCUUCAACAUCAUCCUUAGCUCUGGGAUCUUCACCAAUAUUUGGAACCAAGAACUGAUCACCCCAAUCCACAAAAGUGUAGACAAAUUUGACCCUAAUAACUACCGUUGGAUAUGUGUCAACAGCAACCUUGAGAAAAUAAUCUGCAUUAUCAUUAACAGUAGACUUGUAAAUGUUUUCAGUGAAAACAAUGUACUGAGCAAAUGUCAUUUUACCAAAUUAUUGUACGACAGAACAUGUAUUCACCCUGUACACCCUAAUUGACAAACAAACAGGGGGUACCUGUCUCAUGCUUUGUUGAUUUCAACUCAAUUUGGCAUAAGGGUCUGCUAUACAAAUUGGUGGAAAGUGAUGUUGGGGGAGAAACACAUUAUAAAAUCCAUGUACACACACAACACGUGUACAGUUAAAAUGAGCAAAAAACACACACAUUUAUUCCACAGGGCCGUGGGGUGAGACAGGGAUGCAGCUUAAGCCCCACCCUCUUCAACAUAUAUAUCAACAAAUUGGUGAGGGCACUGGAACAGUCUGCAGCACCCAGCCUCACCCUACUAGAAUCUGAAGUCAAAUGUCUACUGUUUGCUGAUGAUCUGGUGCUUCUGUCACCAACCAAGAAGGGCCUACAGCAGCACCUAGAUCUUCUGCACAGAUUCUGCCAGACCUGGGCCCUGACAGUAAAUCCCAGUAAAACAAAAAAUAAUGGUGUUCCAAAAAAGGUCCAGUCGCCAUGGCAACACAUACAAAUUCCAUCUCGACACAGUUGCCCUGGAAACAGAGCAGGUGUUCUCAAACUGGGGUAUGGGUACGCGCAAUGCCGUCAGGGAUACGCAAAAUUAAACAUUUGAUUCACAUGUUUUUUUCUUCACAUUUUGAAACAGUCGAUUUAUAUUUUCCAACGGUAUAUUUUCGGUAUAUUUUCCAAUACAUUUGGGUGAGGUUUUUUUUUCCGCCUAAGUAACCUCGUUUCACUACCAAAAAUAAAAUCAAACCAUCUAGUGUUCAGCUAAAUAACAACACAAUGUCAAAUACAGGUAGUCUAGUCAAAUAAUUAACAUCCAAUCACAUUAACCGUUACUCUCUCGCGGGAAUUCCACUAACGGUCCAUAUGUAGCCAAACGUAGCUGCUGCUCAUGUUGGAAUCUUUACUGAUGGUUUUAUAUGUAAGAUGAUUAAAUAAAGAGCAAAAUUAUUGAUUAUUAUUAUUAUUAUUUGUGCCCUGGUCCUAUAAGAGCUCUUUGUCACUUCCCACAAGCCAGGUUGCUCAUUCUUAUGUUUAAUAAAUGUGUGUGGCAGGCUUGCAAUGAUGACAAAAAUCAACAUUUGAGAGAACACUAGUGCUAGAUGGGGUAUGCAGCUGGAGGUUGAAUGUUUGCAGGGGUACGGGACUAUCAACAUUUUGCCAACCAAUGCCGUAGAGCACACAAAAAACAAUACAUACCUCAGCCUAAACAUCAGCGCUUACAGGUAACUUCAACAAAGUUGAACGAUCUGAGAGACAAUGCAAGAAGGGCCUUCUAUGCCAUCAAUAGGAACAUAAAAUCCGACAUACCAAUUAGGAUCUGGCUAAAAAUACUUGAAUCAGUUACAGAACCCAUUGCCCUUCGUGGUUAUGAGGUCUGGGGUCCGCUCACCAACCAAAAAUUCAAAAAAUGGGACAAACACCAAAUUAAGACUCUACGUGCAGAAUUCUGCGAAAAUAUCCUAUGUGUACAAUGUAAAACACCUAAUAAAGCAUUCAGAGCAGAAUUAGGCCGAUACCCGCUAAUUAGCCAAAUCCAGAAAAGAGCCGUUAAAUUCUACAACCACCUAAAAGGAAGCAAUUCCCAAACCUUCCAUAACAAAGCCAUCAUCUACAGAGAGAUGAACCUGGAGAAGUGUCCCCUAAGCAAGCUGGUCCUGGGGCUCUGUUCACAAACACAAACAGACCUCACAAAGCCCCGGGACAGCAACACAAUUAGACCCAACCAAAUCAUGAGAAAAACAAAAGAUACAGACGUUGUGAGCAUAGCCUUGCUAUUGAGAAAGGCCGCCGUAGGCAGACAUGACUCUCAACAGAAGACAGGCUAUGUGCAACACUGCCCACAAAUUGAGGUGGAAACUGAGCUGCACUUCCUAACCUCCUGCCAAAUGUAUGACCAUAUUAGAGACACAUAUUUCCCUCAGAUUACACAGAUCCACAAGGAAUUUGAAAAACAAACCCAAUUUUGAUAAAUUCCCAUAUCUAUUGGGUGAAAUACCACAGUGUUUCAUCACAGCAGCAAGAUGUGACCUGUUGCCACAAGAAAAGGGCAAUCAGUGAAGAACAAACACCAUUGUAAAUACAACCCAUAUUUAUGCUUAUUUAUUUUCCAUUUUGUACUUUAACUAUUUUCACAUUGUUACAACACUGUGAAUAGACAUUAAAUUACUUUUGAAAUGUAUUUAUUAUUUUGGAACUUCUGUGAGUGUAAUGUUAUCUGUUAAUUUUGAUUGUUUAUUACACUUUUGUUUAUAAUCUACUUCACUUGUUUUGGCAAUGUUAACAUAUGUUUCCCAAGCCAAUAAAGCCCAUGGAUUGAAUUGAAUUGAGAAGGGGGUGAGACAGAGAGCAAGAGAGAGAGGGAGAAGUGGGGAGUGAGAGAGAGAGAGAGAGACAGCAAGACAUAAGGAGAUGGAGAAGGGAUGAGAGAGGGAGAAGUGGGGAGUGAGAGAGAGAGACAGCAAGACAUAAGGAGACGGAGAAGGGAUGAGAGAGGGAGAAAGAGAGAGAAAGAAAGAGAGAUAAUCAGAGAGAGAGAUACAUAGAGAUAGGGAGAGAUAAUGAGAGAGAUACAUAGAGAUAGGGAGAGAUAAUGAGAGAGAGAUACAUCGAGAUAGGGAGAGAUAAUGAGAGAGAUACAUAGAGAUGGGGAGAGAUAAUGAGAGAGAUACAGUGUACAUAGAGAGAGGGAGAGAUAAUGAGAGAGAUACAUAGAGAUAGGGAGAAAUAAUGAGAGCGAUACAUAGAGGGAGGGAGAGAUAAUGAGAGAGAUGCAUAGAGAUGGGGAGCGAUAAUGAGAGAGAUACAGUGUACAUAGAGAGAGGGAGAGAUAAUGAGAGAGAUACAUAGAGAUAGGGAGAGAUAAUGAGAGAGAUACAUAGAGAUCGGGAGAGAUAAUGAGAGCGAUACAUAGAGAUAGGGAGAGAUAAUGAGAGAGAUACAUAGAGGGAGGGAGAGAUAAUGAGAGAAAGAAAAAAAAUAAAGUAAAUGGAAGUAGAAUAGAAGAAACAUUUUAGAAUACAGUGCGUUUGGAAAGUAUUCAGACCCCUUGACUUUUUACAGCUUUAUUCAAAAGUGGAUUAAACUCAUGUUUUUCCUCAUCAAUCUACAUACGAUACCCCAUAAUUACAAAGCAAGACCAAUAACCUGAUGGUCACUCUGACAGAGUUCCAGAGUUCCUCUGUGAAAGACAACCAUCUCUGCAGCACUCCACCAAUCAGGCCUUUAUGGUAGAGUUACCAGACUGAAGCCACUCCUCAGUAAAAGGCACACGACAGCCCACUUGGUGUUUUGCCAAGAUACAAAUCAAAUCAAAUCAAAUUU